GUCCUAAGGUGCCAAGCAGGAUGAUGCAUCUAACUAGAUGCUGAAGACAGGCCAAGGUUCCAUGCAGGAGGUUCAUAUGUCCGAAGGCAGAUGAAGAGCUAAAUCGAAGCCCAUGCUGCCGCUCAAGGUGCUUCCUGUUCAGCGUGUCAUGCCCGUCUCAAAUAAAUUUGCUGGUGGUCCAGUAUUAGUAGUCUUCUUCUUUAAGUUCUCAUUUUCUCUUCGGUAAUAAGGAUUUCCUUUGCUGAGGGAACCAUCGUUUACUUAUCUAGGUGUGUUGCUUUGUUCUUCUGAAUGCAGCUACUUAUUUCAAUGCAAUGAACUAUCGUUCUUGGUGAUUCAUUUGCAUCCUUUACUGGGCUUUGUUCUCUGGUGCCAGCAAGAUCGAUCUUAUUAUUGUUUAUUUGAGGAAAAUGCUAUAGAUAUUUGUUCAUUUCACAAGCAAAACAGGAGAUAUAAUGACUCCAUGGAGUAGUCAACACAAUGAGAAGUAGUACUAUCAAUAAUUCUGAGGUUGCUCUAUCAUCAGUGCCCAGUGACAAUACAUGUCGGCAGGAAUCUUUCGAAGAGAUGCUCAGAUGAAUCAACAUCAUUCCCCGAAGUGAUGAUGCAAGUAAAACUCGGAAUCUUUUUGCCACUUGUUAAGAAGAACAUGGUCACCAAAAGCAAUAAAGAUAUCGAUACUGUUAUCGGUCGUCUCAAGAACUCCAGCCAUUGGAAAAAGGUUCAGUAGUUUUAAUUUGAUUUCAUUUUUUUGAUGGCUUAGGAU
Molecule: non-coding RNA, 766 nt
Organism: Musa acuminata subsp. malaccensis (wild Malaysian banana)
Lineage: Eukaryota; Viridiplantae; Streptophyta; Magnoliopsida; Zingiberales; Musaceae
Source: RefSeq, a predicted model, not a curated record